RNAcentral lists this long non-coding RNA (593 nucleotides) under Rattus norvegicus (Norway rat). Its description in RNAcentral is "long non-coding RNA NONRATT006583". The stretch from base 444 to 577 matches the Rfam family "Small nucleolar RNA SNORA84". Lineage: Eukaryota; Metazoa; Chordata; Mammalia; Rodentia; Muridae. The record is from RNAcentral.
AUAUGUAUAUACUUGUUAACUCUGUGUGGGGAGGGUGGGAGGAGACAUGGAUGUCUAAUGUUUACAUAUAUCUAUAGGUCCUCCCCUCCCCCCGCCCCAAAUGUGAUCAUCUCAAGCUUGCUGCAUUUAGUUACCAAAUUUGGGACAUCUAUCCAUAAAGAUAAUCCAUUCAAGCACAUUUAAAAAUUCUUUGUUUGCUAACAGAUGAGGGCAGAUUGGCAUUAGCAGUGUUAGGGCAGGGAGUUGUCCUUAGGACCCCUAAAUACUUAACCUGUAUAAGUGAAUUGAAAAGGACAAGACUAGCAAUAUAAGAGACUAAGUGUAGGGGGCAGGCAUGGUGAUAAAAGCAGAUGAAACCAUUUGAUGCUGUGGAGAUGUCUGUCUGUGUCUUGAACCUUGCUUGGGUCAGUAAUUACAUCACUUCCAAAUUAAGUUUUAAAGACGCCCUGUGGUUGCUGGAGGCUGUUGUGUGAGUACAGCUUUCUAGUGGAUAACAAUGGGCAAGAGAAAUCCUUUGAUUUAUGCAUGGGAGCUGUUUCUUCUCAGAAGCUGCCAUAGCCCGGUCAUUGGCACAUUAUUUAAAAAAAAAAAAC